AACGAACGCUGGCGGCAUGCCUAACACAUGCAAGUCGAACGAGACCUUCGGGUCUAGUGGCGCACGGGUGCGUAACGCGUGGGAAUCUGCCCUUGGGUUCGGAAUAACAGUUGGAAACGACUGCUAAUACCGGAUGAUGACGUAAGUCCAAAGAUUUAUCGCCAGGGAUGAGCCCGCGUAGGAUUAGCUAGUUGGUGGGGUAAAGGCCUACCAAGGCGACGAUCCUUAGCUGGUCUGAGAGGAUGAUCAGCCACACUGGGACUGAGACACGGCCCAGACUCCUACGGGAGGCAGCAGUGGGGAAUAUUGGACAAUGGGCGAAAGCCUGAUCCAGCAAUGCCGCGUGAGUGAUGAAGGCCUUAGGGUUGUAAAGCUCUUUUACCCGGGAUGAUAAUGACAGUACCGGGAGAAUAAGCCCCGGCUAACUCCGUG
Molecule: ribosomal RNA, 432 nt
Filed under: uncultured bacterium
Lineage: Bacteria
Description: partial 16S ribosomal RNA
Rfam family: Bacterial small subunit ribosomal RNA
Source: RNAcentral